AACGAACGCUGGCGGCGUGGAUAAGACAUGCAAGUCGAACGGGCCCCAAAGUUCCCGCAAGGGAGUUUCGGGGUUAGUGGCGAACGGGUGCGUAACACGUGGGGAAUCUGCCGAGAAGUGGGGGAUAGCUCGCCGAAAGGCGAAUUAAUACCGCAUAUGAUCAGGGAAGACAUCUUUCCAACAUCAAAGCCGGGGCAACCUGGCGCUUCUUGAUGACCCCGCGGCCUAUCAGCUAGUUGGCGGGGAAUGGCCCACCAAGGCGACGAUGGGUAGCUGGUCUGAGAGGAUGGUCAGCCACACUGGGACUGAGAUACGGCCCAGACUCCUACGGGAGGCAGCAGUCGAGAGGCUUCGGCAAUGGGGGAAACCCUGACCGAGCGACGCCGCGUGGGGAUGAAGGCCCUUGGGUGUAAACCCCUUUGUUCGGGAAGAAAUGCGAUCAGGUGAACAAUCUGGUCGUUUGACGGUACCGGACGAAUAAGCUCCGGCUAACUCCGUGCCAGCCGCCGCCGU
This 513-nucleotide ribosomal RNA is filed under the name uncultured bacterium. RNAcentral's name for it is "bacterial SSU rRNA". It matches the Rfam family "Bacterial small subunit ribosomal RNA", at positions 29 to 521 of the family's 1533-position model. The record is from RNAcentral.